RNAcentral lists this unclassified non-coding RNA (137 nucleotides) under uncultured Ascomycota. RNAcentral's name for it is "sequence contains ITS1". The record is from RNAcentral. Lineage: Eukaryota; Fungi; Ascomycota.
CCUAGAGUUGUAGGCUUUGCCUACCAUCUCUUACCCAUGUCUUUUGAGUACUUACGUUUCCUCGGUGGGUUCGCCCGCCGAUUGGACAAUUUAAACCAUUUGCAGUUGCAAUCAGCGUCUGAAAAACAUAAUAGUUA